Molecule: long non-coding RNA, 308 nt
Organism: Pollicipes pollicipes
Lineage: Eukaryota; Metazoa; Arthropoda; Thecostraca; Pollicipedomorpha; Pollicipedidae
Exons: 3
Source: RefSeq, a predicted model, not a curated record
CUCUUUGCGUCGGUGGUAGAUGCCAGACAUAAGGUGCUGUGUGUGCGGUGAUCGCAGGACAAAGAAAAUAAUUUGACCGUGUUCGCAUUCCCAGCACAACAAGGCCACCAACAGGAAUGGCGUCAUGUGUGUGGUAUCAGUGGGGUCAGGCCGGGGCAUGGAGUGUGCCAGGCACAUUUUCCAUCACAUGCCUUUUCCAGCCUGGCAGCCUAAACGAAAAGGCUUGGGGCCAAUGCUGUGCCCUCUCUGCAGCACAGGAAGGGUGUUACAGGCACCCCAGUGCUUCCCGUGUCUACACCAUCUCGAAG